GCUGGAAUCGCUAGUAAUCGUAGAUCAGCAUGCUACGGUGAAUACGUUCCCGGGUCUUGUACACACCGCCCGUCACACCACGAGAGUUUGUAACACCCGAAGCCGGUGGAGUAACCUUUUAGGAGCUAGCCGUCGAAGGUGGGACAAAUGAUUGGGGUGAAGUCGUAACAAGGUAGCCGUAUCGGAAGGUGCGGCUGGAUCACCUCCUUUCUAAGGA
This 217-nucleotide ribosomal RNA is filed under the name Staphylococcus aureus. Its description in RNAcentral is "partial 16S ribosomal RNA". It matches the Rfam family "Bacterial small subunit ribosomal RNA", at positions 1325 to 1533 of the family's 1533-position model. Lineage: Bacteria; Bacillati; Bacillota; Bacilli; Caryophanales; Staphylococcaceae. The record is from RNAcentral.